GGGUCCUUGCGCUUGCAAGGCAGGCCACCGAACCGCUGAGCUGAAUCCCCGGCCCCUGAACUGUUACUUUGUUACAGAGACUACAGUGCCAACGACUGGAUAAUGGCACUGGCAGACGUGAUAACCACUGCAAGGGCAGCAACCACUCUUUUGCGCACCUACUUUAUAAACACCUGGCACGAACUGAGGUAAGCUAACUGGCCAGGAGGUGGUGCAGGUGACACUGCUGAAGGCCUGGAGGUGCGGCUGUAUGAGGAUUUCUGAUGUCUGAGCAGGGGACAACCAUGAGAGGUCUCCAGGGAGCACCUUCCUAGUAAACCACUGGCACCCAGCGCCUGCUACCUGAGGGAUGCAAGGAGAGCCUGGCAUGCUCCAAAUAUGGGUGAGGCCAGAGGAGGAAAAGUAAAUAAAUUUCAAAACUGGAGGAAUUCUGUGAAAGGAAAGAAAACCCCUGGUGACAAGGCAAACUAAGGUUUUAAAGACUUUUCCUUUUAGAAAUGAAUCCUAUUUUUUAAAAAAAUUAAAAGUAAGUUUUAAGUAAAUAAAUGC
Fukomys damarensis (Damara mole-rat) is the source of this 549-nucleotide long non-coding RNA. RefSeq lists it as uncharacterized. The record is from RefSeq and is a predicted model, not a curated record. The transcript has 3 exons. NCBI's taxonomy places the organism in Eukaryota, Metazoa, Chordata, Mammalia, Rodentia, Bathyergidae.